This 85-nucleotide transfer RNA is filed under the name Xanthomonas fragariae. Its description in RNAcentral is "tRNA-Leu". It matches the Rfam family "tRNA". From Rfam's summary of the family: Transfer RNA (tRNA) molecules are approximately 80 nucleotides in length. Their secondary structure includes four short double-helical elements and three loops (D, anti-codon, and T loops). The record is from RNAcentral. Lineage: Bacteria; Pseudomonadati; Pseudomonadota; Gammaproteobacteria; Lysobacterales; Lysobacteraceae. RNAcentral also lists the same sequence under 23 other names.
GCCCAGGUGGCGGAAUUGGUAGACGCACUACCUUGAGGUGGUAGCGGCUUAGGUCGUAGGGGUUCGAGUCCCCUCUUGGGCACCA